This 309-nucleotide ribosomal RNA is filed under the name uncultured archaeon. RNAcentral describes it as "bacterial SSU rRNA". It matches the Rfam family "Archaeal small subunit ribosomal RNA", at positions 526 to 834 of the family's 1478-position model. The record is from RNAcentral.
UUGCUGAACAAGUCCAUCGGGAAAUCCACCGGCUUAACCGGUGGACGUCCGGUGGAAACUGUUCGGCUUGGGGCCGGGAGACUCAGCGGGUACGUCUGGGGUAGGAGUGAAAUCCUGUAAUCCUAGACGGACCACCGAUGGCGAAAGCACGCUGAGAGACCGGACCCGACAGUGAGGGACGAAAGCUGGGGUCACGAACCGGAUUAGAUACCCGGGUAGUCCCAGCCGUAAACGAUGCUCGCUAGGUCUGCCGUUCACUACGAGUGGAUGGUGGGCUGCAGUGAAGACGAUAAGCGAGCCGCCUGGGAA